This 146-nucleotide non-coding RNA is filed under the name Protocruzia adhaerens. The record is from RNAcentral. Lineage: Eukaryota; Ciliophora; Spirotrichea.
AAUUAGAGAAAGAUGAAAUUUGUGUGAACGUUCCGUCGAAAAUGAGAAUGGCAAAGUAUGUAAUGAAACUCUGAAUUCGCCUCCCUCUUGGUUUUUUCUUUUUCUCGGAUUUUGUUUCGCUUUUUGUUUUUUUUUUUUUUUCUCUC